AUCUGUACCCAAAAGACUCACUUGACACUUAUACUCAAGACAGAAUUAAUGUUCCCCCCCAAAGGUGCUCUUCCUCCUGUAUCCCCUACCUUGGCUGUGGAAUGCCAGACACCCAGUGUCUCAAGACAGAAACCUAAGGGGCAUCUUAAAAUCCCCUCGCUCCAUUCAGUUUCUUCUUCUGCAAGCCACACGGGAAUUCCAUUCAAUUUCUUCUUCUCUCUCUUCAUCCCAUGCAGUAAAUCUUCAAGUACUUUUCAGUCCACCUUUUUAACAUCUCUCCUAUCCAUUCUCUCUGCCUUUCCACUGCAACUGCUUUAGUUUAUGUUCUUGUUAACUCUUAUAGUAGUAUUGCAAUUGAUUUCUCUAUCAUCUUUUUCUCCUUCAAUUCAUCCUCAGCAGAGCCACAUUAAUAAUAUUUCUCAAAUAAAUUUGAUCACAUUUCUCCUUUGCUCAAAAAUCUUCCAUGGCUCUCAUCACUUACAAGACAAAGGUAGGAAAUACAGGGAAUAACUCGUGCAAAAGCAGAAAGGCGUAAAACCAUGUGUAUUACAGAGGAAAGUAUUAUUUUGAUAGUAUCUGACCUCAAGAGUGUGAGGUACAGGAUGGAAAAGGCAGGCUGGGCCAGACCAUCCACUUGUCCUUCCUGGAUUGCCCAGCCACUCCCUUCACUGCCAGCUCUGAAGUGACUUCUGGAAAGUCACUGGAAAGAAUUCUCAACCCCCACUCGGAAGUUCAUCACACCUUCCUCACGGCAAAUGCUGUGUUUUUUUGCUGUUGCUAUUGUUCUAAUUACAAUCUAAUAUAAUUACUUGCUUGCAUGUCUGUCCCCCCUUUAGACCGUGAAAUCCUUUGGGACAGUAACAGUGUCUAAUUCAUUCCAGAGCCUCAUAUGACAAACUGCCCAGCACAUAGUGAGCCUCAGAUAACUGAUCUCUUUCCUUCUGCUUUCUUCUCUUUAAUUUCAUAAGAAUACAGGCAAGAGAUAAUGAAAGCUUAACCAAGAGUGAUGGUAGGAAUGCUGAGGUAGAAAUAAAAUAUUAGAACUAUGUAAGAAACUGAAUAGGCUUAGUCAUUAACUAAAAAGAGGUAAGAAAUGAUUAUCAGAAUUCUUCCUAAAGAAAGAAAGGUAGAAAAGCUCAUCUUCAGUUAUAUAUUUCAGUUAUUUGGGAUUUUAAUUGUUUUGUUCAUUUAUUUCUUAUAGCUGGUGGUAAAUCUAACAUUGGGUUUGUACUGAAUCACAUUAAACUAGAUUAUAAAUAUUUUUGACACAUUUUUAAUGUUUUAGUAUAAUUUUUUAGAGCUUGCAAAAUCAUUUCCCUGAGACAGAGGUUGCAGUGACCACCAGGGCAUUCUUAGGGCGGCUCUAGUGUCUCACUCUUGACUCCAGGCCUCCAAGUAUCCUCUGCUCUCCAAAAUCUCCAUGCCAGCAAUUUUUUAGAUAGGCAGAAAUGAGAAACAUUCUUUAAUUCUGGCUCUUUCCUCCCCCUUCCAAACUUGCAGAAUUACUUAAAAGUUUUACUGAAUCCAAGUCUCUGGAACAGACACAAAGAAUCAAGUAACCUAUUACUUAGAUGAUUUAAGUGCUGCAUGAAAGUUGCAUUUUUGAUUAAAAAAAGACACGUACUCCAGUGUUCACUGCAGCACUAUUUGCAAUAGCCAAGACAUGGAAACCAUCUAAAUGUCCAUUGACAGAGGAGUGGAUAAGGCAGAUGUGGUACAUAUACACAAUAGAAUAUUACUCAGCCAUUAAAAGGAAAGAAAUAAUAGCGAUUGUAGCAACAUGGAUGGACCUAGAAAUUAUCAUGCUAAGAUAAGUCAGUAAGACAAUGAGACACCAGCAUCAAAUGCUAUCACAUACAUGUAGAAUCUAAAAAAAAAGGGACAAAAUGAACUUCUUUUCAGAACAGACACUGACUCACAGACUUUGAAAACCUUAUGGUUUCCAAACGAGACAGGUUGAGAGGUGGGGCGGGGGUGCACUGAGGUUUUGGGAUGGAAAUGCCUUAAAAUUUGGUUGCGAUGAUUGUUGUACACCUAUAAAUGUAAUAAAAUUCAUUAAGUAAUAAAAAAAAUUUUACUGCUUCUAUCACAAGUUUUAUUGUUUCAAUGCAUUCAAUUGCAUUGCAACAAUAAAACUUGUGAUGAAACAAUUUUCCCCUAUGUAUAUAUAUAUUUAUAUUUGUCCGUUUAGAGCCAAAUGCUCACAUGGCAUCUGUAGCUCAGAUUCGACCCCUUGACCCCUGGCUAGGGAACUUCCAUAUGUCAUGGGUGCAUUUGGCCCUAAAAAGACAAAAAA
This 2296-nucleotide long non-coding RNA is filed under the name Sus scrofa (pig). RNAcentral describes it as "lncRNA (ENSSSCG00025027784.1)". The record is from RNAcentral. Lineage: Eukaryota; Metazoa; Chordata; Mammalia; Artiodactyla; Suidae.